AAGUCGUAACAAGGUUUCCGUAGGUGAACCUGCGGAAGGAUCAUUAAUUGAUCAAAAAGAAAAAUUGGCAUCAAUCUCCUUCUCUCGGGAAAGAGAAUGAAGCCUCUUUUUUUUCCACUGUGAACUGUCUUGUACUGUUGUAUUAUAUUUUUUUUUAAAUGAAAAAUCUUUUUUCCUUUGCGGAAUCAAGAUAUAAUAAUUUAAAGACAACUUUCAGCAAUGGAUCUCUUGGCUCUU
This 237-nucleotide unclassified non-coding RNA is filed under the name fungal sp. RNAcentral describes it as "partial internal transcribed spacer region". The stretch from base 1 to 46 matches the Rfam family "Eukaryotic small subunit ribosomal RNA", at positions 1786 to 1831 of the family's 1831-position model. Lineage: Eukaryota; Fungi. The record is from RNAcentral.